CCCAAAAUAAGUUUUGCACUAUUCAUCUCUAACGUUUGACUGUUCGUCUUAUUUGAAAAUUUUUUAUGAUUAUUAUUUUUAUUGUUAUUAGAUGAUAAAACAUGAAUAAUACUUUAUGUGUGACUAAUUUUUUUAAAAAAAAAAUUAUAAUUUUUUCAAAUAAGAUGGACGGUCAAACAUUGGACACGGAUUUUCACAGCUGCAUUUACU
This is a microRNA precursor of Oryza sativa Indica Group (long-grained rice), 210 nucleotides long. It matches the Rfam family "MIR812 microRNA precursor family". NCBI's taxonomy places the organism in Eukaryota, Viridiplantae, Streptophyta, Magnoliopsida, Poales, Poaceae. The record is from Rfam.